AGGAAGUAUUACUUUACUGAGAGGGUAGUGGAUGCAUGGAAUAGCCUUCCAGCUGAAGUGGUAGAGGUUAACACAGUAAAGGAGUUUAAGCAUGCGUGGGAUAGGCAUAAGGCUAUCCUAACUAUAAGAUAAGACUAGGGACUAAUGAAAGUAUUUAGAAAAUUGGGCAGACUAGAAGGGCUGAAUGGUUCUUAUCUGCCGUCACAUU
This 208-nucleotide long non-coding RNA is filed under the name Pelobates cultripes (western spadefoot toad). Lineage: Eukaryota; Metazoa; Chordata; Amphibia; Anura; Pelobatidae. The record is from RNAcentral.